GACAGUUCGUUGUGUGUGUGAAUUGUGGCCCCGACGUUUACACGAACGAGUUCUAUCGAUUGUAAGUCGAUAGUCGCUCUAUGGUUCUUCCGGUAAAGGUCCAUGUGUUUGUAACACGUUGUUCAAUAGUUGGGCGUAGGAAAGGGUGUUGAAGAUAUUUAUUUGGUGACUGAAAAUGGCGAAGUCGAAGAACCACACGAAUCAUAAUCAAAGUA
Molecule: long non-coding RNA, 215 nt
Organism: Schistocerca serialis cubense
Lineage: Eukaryota; Metazoa; Arthropoda; Insecta; Orthoptera; Acrididae
Exons: 2
Source: RefSeq, a predicted model, not a curated record